CCUACGGGAGGCAGCAGUGGGGAAUAUUGGACAAUGGGGGCAACCCUGAUCCAGCCAUGCCGCGUGUGUGAAGAAGGCCCUCGGGUUGUAAAGCACUUUCAGUGAGGAAGAACGCCUGGUGGUUAAUACCCAUCAGGAAAGACAUCACUCACAGAAGGAGCACCGGCUAACUCCGUGCCAGCAGCCGCGGUAAUACGGAGGGUGCGAGCGUUAAUCGGAAUUACUGGGCGUAAAGCGCGCGUAGGUGGCUUGAUAAGCCGGUUGUGAAAGCCCCGGGCUCAACCUGGGAACGGCAUCCGGAACUGUCAAGCUAGAGUGCAGGAGAGGAAGGUAGAAUUCCCGGUGUAGCGGUGAAAUGCGUAGAGAUCGGGAGGAAUACCAGUGGCGAAGGCGGCCUUCUGGACUGACACCGACACUGAGGUGCGAAAGCGUGGGUAGCAAACAGGAUUAGAUACCCGAGUAGUC
Molecule: ribosomal RNA, 465 nt
Filed under: Vreelandella stevensii
Lineage: Bacteria; Pseudomonadati; Pseudomonadota; Gammaproteobacteria; Oceanospirillales; Halomonadaceae
Description: partial 16S ribosomal RNA
Rfam family: Bacterial small subunit ribosomal RNA
Source: RNAcentral